Molecule: long non-coding RNA, 1991 nt
Organism: Peromyscus leucopus (white-footed mouse)
Lineage: Eukaryota; Metazoa; Chordata; Mammalia; Rodentia; Cricetidae
Exons: 2
Source: RefSeq, a predicted model, not a curated record
UGCACCCCAUCGCCUGCCCAGUUGUGGGUUCCCACAAGAAUGGCCCCGGGAGGCCUCUGUGCCUGAGAAUACAGUGUCCUCUUCACCACCCAUCUUCUCAGCCCCGCUCUAGAGCCCCCUUCACUGAGGACAUACCGCAAAAGGAAAUAAAGAUUGUAGAAACUCAUCUGGGCCACAGCUCAGCAUGUGACGGAUGACCAACUUCAGGUAGUGUAUGAACAAUGAUAACCAGCUCCAAUCAGACAAAAUAACCCAAGUGUAAUACCCACAAUACUAUUUCCUGUGCCAAUGGCUUCUGAUCGCUUCCAAUGUUUGGCAGAUCCUCCCUCUAAUGACGGUGAGAGACAAGGCUCAUUCCCAACAACAAAAGCUGAAAACAUCAUGUCUUUGCCUUCCCAGUCAAGCAGGGGAUCUAAGCUGGGCCAAUAAGAUGCCCCCGACCUGACGGCGACUGGGGAACCGGUGAUGUAAGACACAGAACAAGAGGAGCCUUUCUGACAUGGAUGGCAAGAGCUGCCACACUCAGCAUCUGGGGCAACACUGAUAAGGAUACCCACCCGCAUGCAAAGCCAGCAGCACCGGGGCGCAUGCGCCAGAUCAGUGCUCGGUUUGGAGUUUGGCCUCGGUUACAGCUGAAGAGGCACCCUCUGUUCCUAUUUUCCAAACCUAGCUUCCCUGCUGGUGCAAAAAAUCAGUGGGCUUUCCUAAAUCCUCUCAGGGUGUUCCACCCUACUGAAAUAAGAGUUCUGGUUCUGCUGCUUACCGCCGAGAACCCAGCUAAUCACAACCUCCCGUCCCAGCGGUCAGUUCAGCGGCAGCUUGGCCCAGAGAGUAGAUAUCUACGUCCAGGAAGCCGCUUCCGCAAGGGCUUUUGGAUAACGGUAGCCUUAAUCUAAAGCUGAUUCAUACAUUGCUUUGGAGGAGCCCACGCCCGCCCGUCUCGACAGAGCUCUGUAAGCCGAGAUAGCUCGGGGAAAUGGUCUAGACACAUUGGGUCCCUCCAAGUCUGGACAUCAGCAGCCACCGGGGGAUGGAGUAAAGAGAGACGUGGACCUCGCAUUCCAGGCCACUGAACACUGAACAGUGUUUUACAAGCUCUCGGUGAUCUGCCGUGACCAACCAGACUUCCUUCCAGCCCCUGUAGUGCCUAUGUGAGGUUUUUACACUUAACUGGGCAAUGAUUCUCCAGCUGGCUCUUUACCAAACAAUGAGAACUGCUGGGUGUGCCUUCCCCUCGCUGCCUGGCACAGCCAGCCUAGGCUUACAGACGGAGCCUCCUUUACAUCUUCAGACAGCCCCAAGACAGCAGAGCAGACAAGUCUGGAUUUAUUAAAAGGGCUCCUGUGUGUGGCAUUGUGCAGCAGACUACAGGUCCCUCGAGGCGGAGACUGUCUUCUCUUUCCUGUGUCCUUGGUACCCAGGUUGGAGGAAGUCACCACAGGAAACAAUCCCCUGCCUGAACCGAGAAGUCGGAACAGAGGGAGGAAAGCAAAUGACCACAGAAAAACAGCCUCUGAGCAGACCAGGGGGAAGCGAUGAGCACUAGUGUUGGGUAUCUAAGAAAACCUCACUGGAGAACUGCUGACUGUGAAAGCCACAAACCCUACCCCAGGGCUAGAAUAACCAAUUUUGCCAAGAGUAACAAGAAGAACUAGGGAGGUCACUGUGUAAACACACUAGAAAGAAAGAAAAAAAAAAUGAAGAACCAAGCAGAAAUGGAAAGUCGGAUCCCUCUGGAUCAGAGGCAGUAGCCAAGUGGUCCUCUUAGGAGGUAAAGGGCUGGAUUUAUUUCUUGCGUGACCAAAUAAAUAUCCUCACGAUGCUGCUAGGCAGCAGCUGCCUGCCCCUGCUUGGAAGGAGACCGUGUUGGAAGGAAAAGCGGCUUUCUCCAGCUUACCGACAGCUGAGGAGGCAGGGACAAUAAGGAAGACAAAGAUUGAUCAGGGACCGAUAAACAUGCAAGCCCCGCAUUAAUAUGCUUAUCUUGGUGA